This 253-nucleotide ribosomal RNA is filed under the name uncultured bacterium. RNAcentral describes it as "partial 16S ribosomal RNA". It matches the Rfam family "Bacterial small subunit ribosomal RNA", at positions 524 to 776 of the family's 1533-position model. The record is from RNAcentral.
UACGUAGGGUGCAAGCGUUGUCCGGAAUUAUUGGGCGUAAAGCGCGCGCAGGCGGUCCUUUAAGUCUGAUGUGAAAGCCCUCGGCUCAACCGAGGAGGGUCAUUGGAAACUGGAGGACUUGAGUGCAGAAGAGGAAAGUGGAAUUCCAAGUGUAGCGGUGAAAUGCGUAGAGAUUUGGGGGAACACCAGUGGCGAAGGCGACUUUCUGGUCUGUAACUGACGCUGAGGCGCGAAAGCGUGGGGAGCAAACAGG